UUAAGCGACCAAGCGUACACGGUGGAUGCCCUGGCAGUCAGAGGCGAUGAAGGACGUGCUAAUCUGCGAAAAGCGCCGGUAAGGUGAUAUGAACCGUUAUAACCGGCGAUGUCCGAAUGGGGAAACCCAGUGUGACUCGUCACACUAUCAUUAACUGAAUCCAUAGGUUAAUGAGGCGAACCGGGGGAACUGAAACAUCUAAGUACCCCGAGGAAAAGAAAUCAACCGAGAUUCCCCCAGUAGCGGCGAGCGAACGGGGAGGAGCCCAGAGCCUGAAUCAGCAUGUGUGUUAGUGGAAGCGUCUGGAAAGGCGCGCGAUACAGGGUGACAGCCCCGUACACAAAAGCGCAUAUGCUGUGAGCUCGAUGAGUAGGGCGGGACACGUGGUAUCCUGUCUGAAUAUGGGGGGACCAUCCUCCAAGGCUAAAUACUCCUGACUGACCGAUAGUGAACCAGUACCGUGAGGGAAAGGCGAAAAGAACCCCGGCGAGGGGAGUGAAACAGAACCUGAAACCGUGUACGUACAAGCAGUGGGAGCACAGGUUUACCUGUGUGACUGCGUACCUUUUGUAUAAUGGGUCAGCGACUUAUAUUCUGUAGCAAGGUUAACCGAAUAGGGGAGCCGGAGGGAAACCGAGUCUUAAUUGGGCGUUAAGUUGCAGGGUAUAGACCCGAAACCCGGUGAUCUAGCCAUGGGCAGGUUGAAGGUUGGGUAACACUAACUGGAGGACCGAACCGACUAAUGUUGAAAAAUUAGCGGAUGACCUGUGGCUGGGGGUGAAAGGCCAAUCAAACCGGGAGAUAGCUGGUUCUCCCCGAAAGCUAUUUAGGUAGCGCCUCGUGAAUUCAUCUCCGGGGGUAGAGCACUGUUUCGGCCAGGGGGCCAUCCCGGCUUACCAACCCGAUGCAAACUGCGAAUACCGGAGAAUGUUAUCACGGGAGACACACGGCGGGUGCUAACGUCCGUCGUGAAGAGGGAAACAACCCAGACCGCCAGCUAAGGUCCCAAAGUCAUGGUUAAGUGGGAAACGAUGUGGGAAGGCCCAGACAGCCAGGAUGUUGGCUUAGAAGCAGCCAUCAUUUAAAGAAAGCGUAAUAGCUCACUGGUCGAGUCGGCCUGCGCGGAAGAUGUAACGGGGCUAAACCAUGCACCGAAGCUGCGGCAGCGAACGUAUCACUUAAAGCGAUUCAGCGGAUGACGAUUGACGGAGCGAAGCGACGUCAAAGCGUUUUACAACAUCGAGUCGGUUUAAGGAUACGUUCGUUGGGUAGGGGAGCGUUCUGUAAGCCUGCGAAGGUGGCCUGUGAGGGUUGCUGGAGGUAUCAGAAGUGCGAAUGCUGACAUAAGUAACGAUAAUGCGGGUGAAAAACCCGCACGCCGGAAGACCAAGGGUUCCUGUCCAACGUUAAUCGGGGCAGGGUGAGUCGACCCCUAAGGCGAGGCCGAAAGGCGUAGUCGAUGGGAAACGGGUUAAUAUUCCCGUACCUGGUGUUACUGCGAAGGGGGGACGGAGAAGGCUAUGUUGGCCGGGCGACGGUUGUCCCGGUUUAAGCGUGUAGGCUGGUUUUCCAGGCAAAUCCGGAAAAUCAAGGCUGAGGCGUGACGACGAGGCACUACGGUGCUGAAGCAACAAAUGCCCUGCUUCCAGGAAAAGCCUCUAAGCCUCAGGUAACAUCAGAUCGUACCCGAAACCGACACAGGUGGUCAGGUAGAGAAUACCAAGGCGCUUGAGAGAACCCGGGUGAAGGAACUAGGCAAAAUGGUGCCGUAACUUCGGGAGAAGGCACGCUGACACGUAGGUGAAGCGGUUUACCCGUGGAGCUGAAGUCAGUCGAAGAUACCAGCUGGCUGCAACUGUUUAUUAAAAACACAGCACUGUGCAAACACGAAAGUGGACGUAUACGGUGUGACGCCUGCCCGGUGCCGGAAGGUUAAUUGAUGGGGUCAGCGCAAGCGAAGCUCCUGAUCGAAGCCCCGGUAAACGGCGGCCGUAACUAUAACGGUCCUAAGGUAGCGAAAUUCCUUGUCGGGUAAGUUCCGACCUGCACGAAUGGCGUAAUGAUGGCCAGGCUGUCUCCACCCGGGACUCAGUGAAAUUGAACUCGCUGUGAAGAUGCAGUGUACCCGCGGCAAGACGGAAAGACCCCGUGAACCUUUACUAUAGCUUGACACUGAACACUGGUCCUUGAUGUGCAGGAUAGGUGGGAGGCUUUGAAGUGUGGACGCCAGUCUGCAUGGAGCCGUCCUUGAAAUACCACCCUUUAAUGGCUGGUGUUCUAACGUAGACCCGUGAACCGGGUUGCGGACAGUGUCUGGUGGGUAGUUUGACUGGGGCGGUCUCCUCCUAAAGCGUAACGGAGGAGCACGAAGGUUGGCUAAUCCUGGUCGGACAUCAGGAGGUUAGUGCAAUGGCAUAAGCCAGCUUGACUGCGAGCGUGACGGCGCGAGCAGGUGCGAAAGCAGGUCAUAGUGAUCCGGUGGUUCUGAAUGGAAGGGCCAUCGCUCAACGGAUAAAAGGUACUCCGGGGAUAACAGGCUGAUACCGCCCAAGAGUUCAUAUCGACGGCGGUGUUUGGCACCUCGAUGUCGGCUCAUCACAUCCUGGGGCUGAAGUAGGUCCCAAGGGUAUGGCUGUUCGCCAUUUAAAGUGGUACGCGAGCUGGGUUUAGAACGUCGUGAGACAGUUCGGUCCCUAUCUGCCGUGGGCGCUGGAGAACUGAGGGGGGCUGCUCCUAGUACGAGAGGACCGGAGUGGACGCAUCACUGGUGUUCGGGUUGUCAUGCCAAUGGCACUGCCCGGUAGCUAAAUGCGGAAGAGAUAAGUGCUGAAAGCAUCUAAGCACGAAACUUGCCCCGAGAUGAGUUCUCCCUGAGACUACGAGUCUCCUGAAGGAACGUUGAAGACGACGACGUUGAUAGGCCGGGUGUGUAAGCGCAGCGAUGCGUUGAGCUAACCGGUACUAAUGAACCGUGAGGCUUAACCUU
This 2986-nucleotide ribosomal RNA is filed under the name Salmonella enterica. RNAcentral describes it as "bacterial LSU rRNA". It matches the Rfam family "Bacterial large subunit ribosomal RNA". The record is from RNAcentral. Lineage: Bacteria; Pseudomonadati; Pseudomonadota; Gammaproteobacteria; Enterobacterales; Enterobacteriaceae.